This 2388-nucleotide long non-coding RNA is filed under the name Schizosaccharomyces pombe (fission yeast). The record is from RNAcentral. Lineage: Eukaryota; Fungi; Ascomycota; Schizosaccharomycetes; Schizosaccharomycetales; Schizosaccharomycetaceae.
UUUUUUUAAUAAAUAAAAAAUAACACACUUUUGAAAAUCAGUUAUGAAUAAGCAUUAAACGAUCCCCUUCGAUAUGAAGAAUGUGACCUCCUACGGUUAUUAUUCCCAGGCACGGGUAAGUUCCAAAAAUCGAAUAUUUGGCCUAUGCUGAGCUUCAUUAUCUUCUUCAACCGGAGAACCCUCACUGCUAACUGCGGCAGAAGGAGCACGCGAUGGUCGACGACUGCGCGAUUCGGAAACAUUGUCAGAUAAGAGUCCAUUUCUCGUAUCACUACUGCUUUCAUUGUUCUCGUUGUAAAAUGGAACUAUACCAGGCCUGGGUAUGUUAUCAUCCUCACUUUCACUGUCCCCAAUAUUAGUAAGAACUUGUUCACGACGACGGCGUUCUACACUAUUUUCACGCAAAUGAGAUUCCGAAUUUUGCCUUGAGUAUCUAGGCCUAUGAUUCUCAAUAGAACUCUCAAUAUGUCCAAGAGUGGGUUCCCUUUGUCUUUCGUCGUCCGGCUCAUGUAAAUUACGUUGAAAAGUAUCAUAGGAACGUCGUAAGAAACUGCGAAACUUGCGACCAAAACUUUUUGCCUUCGGAUCCCCUUGAGCGAGUUUUUCAUCAAUUGAAGGUCCAUUUGCAUCUCGAGAACUGGUAUGCGAAAUAAUGUUUCCUUGAGAAUCUUCAACGACCAAGUCUUCGCCAAUAAGAUAUGUCUCGUCACCAGGAUUCAUUUCUUCUUCUCUAUCUUCCUCAUUCGAGCGGCGAGGUUGCCGAGAUUCAUAGUCUUCAGAAGGAAAUUCUUCAGCGUCAUAGUGGCCUCCGCGUGGUGAUUCAGCACGUUCUUCCCGUAGAUGUGCGGCUUCAGGAAGCGAGACAGUUGAUAUAUCAGCAUCCUCAUCUUCUUGAAUGUUUACAGGAUGACGCCUUCUUAUGGAAGAAGCAAUAGAGUUGGCAGAGGAGCGCAACGCAUCAACUCUUUUAAUUGGUAAGCUUUGUCCUUGACGAACACGAGGUAAGUUAAAAGCAAAAUGAGAGUCCCUUGUUCUCGUAAACGACAAAGCCAACGUAUUAAUCCUUUUACCAAGCAUGAAAAAUGCAAUACUGCUUCCAUGAACAAUGAUAGAACUUAGAACCAGGAAACAAACUACUGGCCACAUUACUUGUAUGCAAUACCAGUUUGGAAUUUCAGGGUUUUCGAUAGCAUCAUUAGGCUCAGGUACAGUGCUAUGUACUUCUAAUUCGGCUCGUGCAACCAAACAAGUAUACAGUGCACCUACACCAAUAGGACCAAAAUGACCAGCAAAGAGAGCUUCUCGCCAAUUGAUAAUAUCAGGAACAAAUGAUUUAAAUAAUAAAACGGCAGGAAUUCUCCUUGCAAUUAAAAUACAUAUAGCCAAUACAACGAGUCGCCAUACACUCAAAUCCAUAUGUGGCAUGUGAAAUUGAGGCCAGGGCAUGAUAGCACCCACGUAUACAAAAAAGGAAAGAUUGAGAAGAAGGUCGAUAACGUUGGAAACAUGAGAUUCUUCUGUUUUUUUCGAAAACCAUGAGUCCCAAGAGAAAGCAGCACCAGCACAAAAAGAAACUAACAAAUCAUCGACACCAAUGAUGGUACCAAUACCACCACAAAAUAGUGCUAAAACGAAGUAGAAUACAAGAAAACUUUCACGAUCCAUUAAUCCUCGACGUUCCGAAAAUUUAAUCAUCUUACGGGCUAUUACACCUAUUAUUGCACCUAGCACACAGCCAAAGGUGCAUUCGUAUAAAAUAAUGAUACAUACCCAAUCGCGGCCAGCAUGUCGGGCAGGUUUCUCAAUAAUUAAAUAAAUAGCUAAAUACAGAAAAGGAAUUGCCAUGCCAUCAUUACAUCCAGAUUCGGCCAAAAGCAUGUUCCUAAGAUGACCUGGGACUCGACGUGCAAAUUUACCUUUACCGACAAUAGAAGAAGCCAACACUGGAUCUGUCGCAGUAAUACAUGCCGCUAUAGCUAAUGACUCCAGAAAAGAGAGUCUGGGAAUUAAAGCAUACAUGAAGCCAGUACUUACUAGCCAUCCAAAAAUCAUAACAGGCAAAAGCAUAACAAACAUACUGCGCCAAUGUCGAAGCAUAUAUGCUCUUGGAAGUUCAGCGCCAGCUGCAAAAACUUCGACAACUAAAAGGACUCGAGCAAGUUCCUCGGUGAUGUAGUCGGUAUUACCCCAGCUGGUGGGAACAAACAGUUUUGCAACGUAAGGACCAAAAAUGAGACCCGUAGCAGUUGCCAUAGCUAUAUUAAGUUAGUAUGCUUCACAUAUAUGAAGAAUUGAAGAGUAAAAAUAAUAUGGUGGAAUAUGCACACUGAAAUAUCUAGAGAUCGCUCUUUAUUUAACGAACGUAAACCGAAAGAAUAAUCUGGAAUU